Molecule: ribosomal RNA, 665 nt
Filed under: Faecalibacterium prausnitzii
Lineage: Bacteria; Bacillati; Bacillota; Clostridia; Eubacteriales; Oscillospiraceae
Description: bacterial SSU rRNA
Rfam family: Bacterial small subunit ribosomal RNA
Source: RNAcentral
ACGAUCGGUAGCCGGACUGAGAGGUUGAACGGCCACAUUGGGACUGAGACACGGCCCAGACUCCUACGGGAGGCAGCAGUGGGGAAUAUUGCACAAUGGGGGAAACCCUGAUGCAGCGACGCCGCGUGGAGGAAGAAGGUCUUCGGAUUGUAAACUCCUGUUGUUGAGGAAGAUAAUGACGGUACUCAACAAGGAAGUGACGGCUAACUACGUGCCAGCAGCCGCGGUAAAACGUAGGUCACAAGCGUUGUCCGGAAUUACUGGGUGUAAAGGGAGCGCAGGCGGGAAAGCAAGUUGGAAGUGAAAUCCAUGGGCUCAACCCAUGAACUGCUUUCAAAACUGUUUUUCUUGAGUAGUGCAGAGGUAGGCGGAAUUCCCGGUGUAGCGGUGGAAUGCGUAGAUAUCGGGAGGAACACCAGUGGCGAAGGCGGCCUACUGGGCACCAACUGACGCUGAGGCUCGAAAGUGUGGGUAGCAAACAGGAUUAGAUACCCUGGUAGUCCACACUGUAAACGAUGAUUACUAGGUGUUGGAGGAUUGACCCCUUCAGUGCCGCAGUUAACACAAUAAGUAAUCCACCUGGGGAGUACGACCGCAAGGUUGAAACUCAAAGGAAUUGACGGGGGCCCGCACAAGCAGUGGAGUAUGUGGUUUAAUUCGACGCA